GGGCCCGCACAAGCAGUGGAGCAUGUGGUUUAAUUCGAUGCAACGCGAAGAACCUUACCAGGGCUUGACAUACUACAAAUCUUUUAGAGAUAGAAGAGUGCUUUCGAGAAUGUAGAUACAGGUGGUGCAUGGCUGUCGUCAGCUCGUGUCGUGAGAUGUUGGUUAAGUCCCGCAACGAGCGCAACCCUCGUUUUUAGUUGCCAAUUUAUUGGUUUUUUAGAAAGACUGCCGGUGACAAACCGGAGGAAGGUGAGGAUGACGUCAAGUCAGCAUGCCCCUUAUGUCCUGGGCUACACACGUGCUACAAUGAUGGGGACAAAGAGUUGCCAAUCUGUGAAGAUGAGCUAA
RNAcentral lists this ribosomal RNA (348 nucleotides) under uncultured bacterium. Its description in RNAcentral is "bacterial SSU rRNA". It matches the Rfam family "Bacterial small subunit ribosomal RNA", at positions 917 to 1271 of the family's 1533-position model. The record is from RNAcentral.